This 400-nucleotide ribosomal RNA is filed under the name uncultured bacterium. Its description in RNAcentral is "bacterial SSU rRNA". It matches the Rfam family "Bacterial small subunit ribosomal RNA", at positions 28 to 422 of the family's 1533-position model. The record is from RNAcentral.
GAUGAACGCUAGCGGCAGGCCUAACACAUGCAAGUCGCGGGGCAGCGCGGUGCAGCAAUGCACUGGCGGCGACCGGCGCACGGGUGCGUAACGCGUAUGCAACCUGCCCAUUCCCGGGGGAUAGCCCGCCGAAAGGCGGAUUAAUACCCCAUGGACCCUUAGCCCCGCAUGGGGCGGAGGGUAAAGCUCCGGCGGGAAUGGAUGGGCAUGCGUGCCAUUAGCUGGUUGGUGGGGUAACGGCCCACCAAGGCUACGAUGGCUAGGGGGUCUGGGAGGAUGAUCCCCCACACUGGUACUGAGACACGGACCAGACUCCUACGGGAGGCAGCAGUGAGGAAUAUUGGUCAAUGGGCGGAAGCCUGAACCAGCCAUGCCGCGUGCAGGACGACGGCCCUACGGG